UACGAAGGGGACUAGCGUUGUUCGGAAUCACUGGGCGUAAAGCGCACGUAGGCGGAUUCGUAAGUCAGGGGUGAAAUCCCGGGGCUCAACCUCGGAACUGCCUUUGAUACUGCGGGUCUUGAGUUCGGGAGAGGUGAGUGGAACUGCGAGUGUAGAGGUGAAAUUCGUAGAUAUUCGCAAGAACACCAGUGGCGAAGGCGGCUCACUGGCCCGAUACUGACGCUGAGGCACGAAAGCGUGGGGAGCAAACAGG
RNAcentral lists this ribosomal RNA (253 nucleotides) under uncultured bacterium. Its description in RNAcentral is "partial 16S ribosomal RNA". It matches the Rfam family "Bacterial small subunit ribosomal RNA", at positions 524 to 776 of the family's 1533-position model. The record is from RNAcentral.